ACAUGCAAUUCGAGGGGUAUGGUUCUUCGGAACCAGAGACCGGCGCACGGGUGCGUAACGCGUAUGCAAUCUACCUUUCACAGAGGGAUAGCCCAGAGAAAUUUGGAUUAAUACCUCAUAGUAUAUAGACUUGGCAUCAAAAUUAUAUUAAAGAUUUAUCGGUGAAAGAUGAGCAUGCGUCCCAUUAGCUAGUUGGUAUGGUAACGGCAUACCAAGGCUACGAUGGGUAGGGGUCCUGAGAGGGAGAUCCCCCAACUGGUACUGAGACACGGACCANACUCCUACGGGAGGCAGCAGUGAGGAAUAUUGGACAAUGGGCGCAAGCCUGAUCCAGCCAUGCCGCGUGCAGGAUGACGGUCCUAUGGAUUGUANACUGCUUUUAUACAGGAAGAAACACUGGUUCGUGAACCAGCUUGACGGUACUGUAAGAAUAAGGAUCGGCUAACUCCGUGCCAGCAGCCGCGGUAAUACGGAGGAUCCAAGCGUUAUCCGGAAUCAUUGGGUUUAAAGGUCCGUAGGCGGUCAGAUAAGUCAGUGGUGAAAGCCCAUCGCUCAACGGUGGAACGGCCAUUGAUACUGUCUGACUUGAAUUAUUAGGAAGUAACUAGAAUAUGUAGUGUAGCGGUGAANUGCUUAGAGAUUACUUGGAAUACCAAUUGCNAAGGCAGGUUACUACUAAUAUAUUGACCCUGAUGGACGAAA
This 702-nucleotide ribosomal RNA is filed under the name Flavobacterium sp. GOBB3-108. RNAcentral describes it as "bacterial SSU rRNA". It matches the Rfam family "Bacterial small subunit ribosomal RNA", at positions 53 to 758 of the family's 1533-position model. The record is from RNAcentral. Lineage: Bacteria; Pseudomonadati; Bacteroidota; Flavobacteriia; Flavobacteriales; Flavobacteriaceae.